GGAGAGACGCACAGCUAAGAUGUCAGGACAUCCUGGAAGCUGGGAAAGGGUCUUGCCAUCUCUAAGCUGGACCUGGUGACCUUUUUGGAGGGAAAGAAAGAGCCCUGGACUGUGAAGAGUGAGGAGACCAUAGCUGCACAGCCAGAUGUAUAAUCUCAUCCCUGAACAUUUCUGAUGGUGUGAUUAUGACAUGUGACUUUAUCUGGCAACAGAGUGAGUUGUUGCUCCCGCCUGAGCCCAGCCCCCAGAAAGGAUUGUGACAUAUCGUUGGACCCAGAAUUGAGGUGCAGUUUUGACACACUUCUGUCUAGCAGCUGAGUAUUGUGAUCUUCAGAACUGGCCCAGCCUACAAAUAGGAUUGUGCCACACUGCUGGACCCAGCACCUAGAUGAUGUAACUAUUCUCCUGCCUUGGUGCUACUCAAAAAAGACAUUAACAUAUCUCAGAGCCUUGCACCCAGAAGGCAUUGAGACAUGGCUGGGCUCAGCACUAAGAAGAUGUGAGUCCUCUGCCUGAAGCCUGACCACAGGGAGCAUUGUGACACAUUUCUUGACCCAUUACAAUCUCUUCUACGGGCAAAGCUGAGGUGGAAUUGUGACAUAUAACUUGGCCAAGCACACAGAUGUAAUGGUGUGGUGACUCUCAUACCUAGAACUGGGACCUGUGCAGGAUUGUUAAUUCAUUACUGGACAUUCCUGUGGGUGUGAUUGUUACAUAUGCCUAUGUUCAGCACCCGAGUGAUUUGAUUUUGCUGCCUGGUCUCAGUCCAAAUGUAAGAUUGUGAUUUAUCGCUGAAUCCAGCA
This 803-nucleotide long non-coding RNA is filed under the name Homo sapiens (human). RNAcentral describes it as "novel transcript". Lineage: Eukaryota; Metazoa; Chordata; Mammalia; Primates; Hominidae. The record is from RNAcentral.